GACGAACGCUGGCGGCGUGCUUAACACAUGCAAGUCGAACGAAGUGGCGAACGGGUGAGUAACGCGUAAUAAACCUGCCCUUCAGAGGGGGACACCAGUUGGAAACGAAUGCUAAUCCCGCAAACUGAAGGCGGUGGUUGCGUCGGAAGAGCUAGUAGGGGGGGUAACGGCCCACCAAGGCGAUGAUCAGUAGCCGGUCUGGGGGGAAGAACGGCCAAAAUGGGACUGAGACACGGCCCAAGAUCCUACGGGAGGCAGCAGUGGGGAAUCUUCCGCAAUGGGCGAAAGUCUGACGGAGCAACGCCGCGGGAGGGAUGACGGCCUUCGGGUUGGAAAGCUCUGUUAAUCGGGACGCGGUACCCGAAUAGAAAGCCACGGCUAACUACGUGCCAGCAGCCGCGGUAAUUC
Molecule: ribosomal RNA, 408 nt
Filed under: uncultured bacterium
Lineage: Bacteria
Description: partial 16S ribosomal RNA
Rfam family: Bacterial small subunit ribosomal RNA
Source: RNAcentral